Molecule: ribosomal RNA, 897 nt
Filed under: Colletotrichum salicis
Lineage: Eukaryota; Fungi; Ascomycota; Sordariomycetes; Glomerellales; Glomerellaceae
Description: LSU rRNA
Rfam family: Eukaryotic large subunit ribosomal RNA
Source: RNAcentral
GCAUAUCAAUAAGCGGAGGAAAAGAAACCAACAGGGAUUGCCCAGUAACGGCGAGUGAAGCGGCAACAGCUCAAAUUUGAAAUCUGGCCCCAGGCCCGAGUUGUAAUUUGCAGAGGAUGCUUUUGGCGCGGUGCCUUCCGAGUUCCCUGGAACGGGACGCCAUAGAGGGUGAGAGCCCCGUACGGUUGGACACCAAGCCUUUGUAAAGCUCCUUCGACGAGUCGAGUAGUUUGGGAAUGCUGCUCUAAAUGGGAGGUACAUUUCUUCUAAAGCUAAAUAUUGGCCAGAGACCGAUAGCGCACAAGUAGAGUGAUCGAAAGAUGAAAAGCACUUUGAAAAGAGGGUUAAACAGCACGUGAAAUUGUUAAAAGGGAAGCGCUUGUGACCAGACUUGCGUCCGGUGAAUCACCCAGCUCUCGCGGCUGGGGCACUUCGCCGGCACAGGCCAGCAUCAGCUUGCCGUCGGGGACAAAAGCUUCAGGAACGUGGCUCCUCUCGGGGAGUGUUAUAGCCUGUUGCACAAUACCCUUCGGCGGGCUGAGGUACGCGCUCCGCAAGGAUGCUGGCGUAAUGGUCAUCAGCGACCCGUCUUGAAACACGGACCAAGGAGUCAACCUUAUGUGCGAGUGUUUGGGUGUUAAACCCCUACGCGUAAUGAAAGUGAACGCAGGUGAGAGCUUCGGCGCAUCAUCGACCGAUCCUGAUGUUCUCGGAUGGAUUUGAGUAAGAGCAUAUAGGGUUGGACCCGAAAGAAGGUGAACUAUGCGUGUGUAGGGUGAAGCCAGAGGAAACUCUGGUGGAGGCUCGCAGCGGUUCUGACGUGCAAAUCGAUCGUCAAACAUGCGCAUGGGGGCGAAAGACUAAUCGAACCUUCUAGUAGCUGGUUUCCGCCGAAGU